AGUGGAUGGGGAGCAACCUAGUUGUGCGUGUGUAAAGGUAGUGCCAAGAAAAGCGAUGAUCAUGUUGAAAAUCAAUUCCCGGUACCCGAAACCGACACAGGUGGGCAAGUAGAGAAUACUAAGGGGCGCGAGGUAACUCUCUCCAAGGAACUCGGCAAAAUGACCCCGUAACUUAGGGAGAAGGGGUGCCACCGAGAGGUGGUCGCAGUGAAGAGGCCCAGGCGACUGUUUAGCAAAAACAUAGGUCUCUGCAAACUCGAAAGAGGAGGUAUAGGGGCUGACGCCUGCCCAGUGCCGGAAGGUUAAAGAAGUUGGUCAGUCUUAGGAUGAAGCUAGCGACUGAAGCCCCGGUGAACGGCGGCCGUAACCAUAACGGUCCUAAGGUAGCGAAAUUCCUUGUCGGGUAAGUUCCGACCCGCACGAAAGGCGUAACGAUCUGGGCGCUGUCUCGGAGAGAGGCUCGGCGAAAUAGGAUUGUCUGUGAAGAUACGGACUACCUGCAUUUGGACAGAAAGACCCUAUGAAGCUUUACUAUAGCUUGGAAUUGUGUUCGGGCUUCCUGUGCGCAGGAUAGGUGGGAGGCGUAGAAGGUAUUCUUGUGGGGAUACUGGAGCCAACGGUGAGAUACCACUCUCAGGAGGCUAGAAUUCUAACUUAAUUAAGGACAGUUUCAGGUGGGUAGUUUGACUGGGGCGGUCGCCUCCAAAAAGGUAACGGAGGCGUACAAAGGUUCCCUCAGACUGGUUGGAAAUCAGUCGAAGAGUGCAAAGGCAGAAGGGAGCUUGACUGCGAGAAGUACAGUUCGAGCAGGGUGGAAACACGGUCUUAGUGAUCCGACGGUGCUGUGUGGAAGGGCCGUCGCUCAACGGAUAAAAGUUACUCUAGGAUAACAGGCUGAUCUCCCCCAAGAGUUCACAUCGACGGGGAGGUCUGGCACCUCGAUGUCGGCUCAUCGCAACCUGGGGCGGAAGUACGUCCCAAGGGUUGGGCUGUUCGCCCAUUAAAGCGGUACGUGAGCUGGGUUCAGAGCGUCGUGAGACAGUUCGGUCCAUAUCCGAUGUAGGCGUGAGAAUAUUGAGAGGAGCCUUCCUUAGUACGAGAGGACCGGGAAGGACGCACCGCUGGUGUACCUGUUAUGAUGCCAAUUGUAAACGCAGGGUAGCCAAGUGCGGAGAGGAUAACCGCUGAAAGCAUCUAAGUGGGAAGCCCACCUCAAGAUGAGUAUUCUGGUGUAAGGUCACGGGAAGACGACCCGUAAAUAGGCACGAGGUGGAAGUGCAGAGAUGUAUGAAGCCGAAGUGUACUAAUAGACCGUCGGCUUGACC
This 1325-nucleotide ribosomal RNA is filed under the name metagenome. RNAcentral's name for it is "bacterial LSU rRNA". It matches the Rfam family "Bacterial large subunit ribosomal RNA", at positions 1561 to 2925 of the family's 2925-position model. The record is from RNAcentral.